Molecule: ribosomal RNA, 540 nt
Filed under: uncultured bacterium
Lineage: Bacteria
Description: partial 16S ribosomal RNA
Rfam family: Bacterial small subunit ribosomal RNA
Source: RNAcentral
UGGGGAAUUUUGGACAAUGGGCGAAAGCCUGAUCCAGCAAUGCCGCGUGUGUGAAGAAGGCCUUCGGGUUGUAAAGCACUUUUGUCCGGAAAGAAAUCCUUGGCUCUAAUACAGCCGGGGGAUGACGGUACCGGAAGAAUAAGCACCGGCUAACUACGUGCCAGCAGCCGCGGUAAUACGUAGGGUGCAAGCGUUAAUCGGAAUUACUGGGCGUAAAGCGUGCGCAGGCGGUUUGCUAAGACCGAUGUGAAAUCCCCGGGCUCAACCUGGGAACUGCAUUGGUGACUGGCAGGCUAGAGUAUGGCAGAGGGGGGUAGAAUUCCACGUGUAGCAGUGAAAUGCGUAGAGAUGUGGAGGAAUACCGAUGGCGAAGGCAGCCCCCUGGGCCAAUACUGACGCUCAUGCACGAAAGCGUGGGGAGCAAACAGGAUUAGAUACCCUGGUAGUCCACGCCCUAAACGAUGUCAACUAGUUGUUGGGGAUUCAUUUCCUUAGUAACGUAGCUAACGCGUGAAGUUGACCGCCUGGGGAGUACGGUCG